Molecule: ribosomal RNA, 423 nt
Filed under: uncultured bacterium
Lineage: Bacteria
Description: bacterial SSU rRNA
Rfam family: Bacterial small subunit ribosomal RNA
Source: RNAcentral
UGAGGAAUAUUGGUCAAUGGGCGGAAGCCUGAACCAGCCAUCCCGCGUGCAGGAAGACAGCCCUAUGGGUUGUAAACUGCUUUUCCAGUGGGCGAAACACUCGUACGUGUACGAGAUUGACGGUACACUGGGAAUAAGCAUCGGCUAACUCCGUGCCAGCAGCCGCGGUAAUACGGAGGAUGCAAGCGUUAUCCGGAUUUAUUGGGUAUAAAGGGUGCGUAGGCGGAUGAAUAAGUCAGUGGUGAAAGGCUGCAGCUUAACUGUAGACUUGCCGUUGAUACUGUUUAUCUUGAGUAUGGUCAAGGCAGGCGGAAUGUGUGAUGUAGCGGUGAAAUGCUUAGAUAUUACAAAGAACACCGAUUGCGAAGGCAGCUUGCUGGGCCAUUACUGACGCUGAUGCACGAAAGCGUGGGGAGCGAACAG